Molecule: long non-coding RNA, 1234 nt
Filed under: Coturnix japonica (Japanese quail)
Lineage: Eukaryota; Metazoa; Chordata; Aves; Galliformes; Phasianidae
Description: lncRNA (ENSCJPG00005001877.1)
Source: RNAcentral
CUGAGAUUUUUCCCCUUUCUCGGCUCAAAUCUUUCAAUCCUGAGGGUCCAUAGUUUUUAUUUCCUCAUCUUUUUUUUUCUCAUCAUUAUUAUCUUAAAUUGCCUUUUUUUUGUUACUUAUUAAUUGCUCCUCCACUUUUGUCUCUUGGCGCUGCCACAACCUGGGAGGGGAAACAAACUCGAACACCCCCCCCAACAAAAAAAAACAACACAAAAGAAAACAGCACUUUUCCCUUUUUCCACCAUUUUUUAUCCUCCUUUCCCCACCUGCUCCCCCCAUCCCCCCCACCCCUAUCAACAACACGACAUUUUGGGCUUAAAAUCCCAAAGAUUCGGCACUUACUCUGAGAUGCACCACUGGUACCUACAACACUUGACAGCCGGAGCGUGAUGACGUUGGAUUUGGGGUUGAAUUCAUACUUUUCCACAUUCUUUUUUUUUUUUUUUCUUCCUGUUAUUUUAAGUUUUUCUUCCCCCAACCCCCCCUCAUAAAAAUAAUAAUAAUUAAAACAUAUUCACCAUUUCCGUUGAUUUUUUUUAUCCCCAAAUCUACCCCAACGUUGGGCAAUUCCAGGGGUGCUUUGUGGCCAUAGUAGUGCCUGAAACGAUAAGAGCCCCCUCAACCCCCCCUCCCCCUCCCCCCCCUUUCUGCCCCAUUAAGGGGCCUCACCGCGCCUCUCCUUUUUGGGGCCGUUUCCUCUGAUUCGAUGAAUUCCGCCUCCAGCCUCACCACGCUCCGGCUGCUUCACCUCAUUGCCUUCCAUUCCUUCUCUCUGCUUUUUCUCCACCAUCUUCUCUCUCCUUUGGGCCCUAUUCUUCCUCCAUUCCUUCUCUCUGCUUUCUUUCCACAUCUUCUCUCUCCUUUGGGCCCCUAUUCUUGGCAUAUUCACCAAAAUGCCUCUUUUCUUCCCCAAUUUAAAGCUUCCAUCCGGGCUGUAACCAAUCCUCGCUCGUCCGCCUCUUCUAUUGGCUGCUUUUCUAUCUUCCUCUCUUCUCUCCUUCCUCUCAUCCUGAUUUCCCUCUUCUAUUUUCUAUCUUCUUUAUUUUUGGCCUAUUUUCUUCCCUAUUUUCUUCUUUUUCUUCCCUAUUUUCUAUCUUCUUUUUUUUUUGCCUAUUUUCUUCUUUUUUUUUUUGCCUAUUUUCUUCCCUAUUUUCUUCUUAUUUUCCCUAUUUCUUCUUGUAUUUUCCUCUUUACCAUCUCCUUCCUUUUUCCUAUGCUCAUUUUUUGUUUCCAU